UACGUAGGGGGCUAGCGUUGUCCGGAAUCAUUGGGCGUAAAGCGCGUGUAGGCGGCCAAGUAAGUCUUACGUGAAAUCCUGAGGCUCAACCUCGGGCCUGCAGUCGAUACGGGCAAACUAGAGUACUGCAGGGGAGACUGGAAUUCCUGGUGUAGCGGUGAAAUGCGCAGAUAUCAGGAGGAACACCGAUGGCGAAGGCAGGUCUCUGGGCAUUAACUGACGCUGAGGAGCGAAAGCAUGGGGAGCGAACAGG
This 253-nucleotide ribosomal RNA is filed under the name uncultured bacterium. Its description in RNAcentral is "partial 16S ribosomal RNA". It matches the Rfam family "Bacterial small subunit ribosomal RNA", at positions 524 to 776 of the family's 1533-position model. The record is from RNAcentral.